GCUCUUGAUUGAAGUCCCGGUAAACGGCGGCCGUAACUAUAACGGUCCUAAGGUAGCGAAAUUCCUUGUCGGGUAAGUUCCGACCUGCACGAAUGGCGUAACGAUGGCCACACUGUCUCCUCCCGAGACUCAGCGAAGUUGAAGUGUUUGUGAUGAUGCAAUCUCCCCGCGGCUAGACGGAAAGACCCCAUGAACCUUUACUGUAGCUUUGCAUUGGACUUUGAACCGAUCUGUGUAGGAUAGGUGGGAGGCUUUGAAGCGUGGACGCCAGUUCACGUGGAGCCGUCCUUGAAAUACCACCCUGGUUUGUUUGAGGUUCUAACCUUGGCCCGUGAAUCCGGGUCGGGGACAGUGCAUGGUAGGCAGUUUGACUGGGGCGGUCUCCUCCCAAAGUGUAACGGAGGAGUUCGAAGGUACGCUUGGUACGGUCGGACAUCGUACCUAAAGUGCAAUGGCA
This 457-nucleotide ribosomal RNA is filed under the name Cupriavidus sp. L7L. Its description in RNAcentral is "partial 23S ribosomal RNA". It matches the Rfam family "Bacterial large subunit ribosomal RNA", at positions 1904 to 2359 of the family's 2925-position model. The record is from RNAcentral. Lineage: Bacteria; Pseudomonadati; Pseudomonadota; Betaproteobacteria; Burkholderiales; Burkholderiaceae.